RNAcentral lists this ribosomal RNA (698 nucleotides) under uncultured bacterium. RNAcentral describes it as "bacterial SSU rRNA". It matches the Rfam family "Bacterial small subunit ribosomal RNA", at positions 90 to 783 of the family's 1533-position model. The record is from RNAcentral.
GACGAGUGGCGGACGGGUGAGUAACGCGUAGGAAUCUACCUAGUAGUGGGGGAUAGCCAAGGGAAACUUUGGGUAAUACCGCAUACGAUCUAAGGAUGAAAGGGGGCCUCUCUUUGAAGCUCUCGCUAUUAGAUGAGCCUGCGUAAGAUUAGCUUGUUGGUGGGGUAAUGGCCUACCAAGGCGACGAUCUUUAGCUGGUCUGAGAGGAUGAUCAGUCGCACUGGAACUGAGACACGGUCCAGACUCCUACGGGAGGCAGCAGUCGGGAAUAUUGGACAAUGGGGGAAACCCUGAUCCAGCCAUGCCGCGUGUGUGAAGAAGGCUCUAGGGUUGUAAAGCACUUUUAGUAAGGAGGAAGGCUCAGUAGUUAAUACCUGCUGGGAUUGACGUUACUUACAGAAAAAGCACCGGCUAAUUUCGUGCCAGCAGCCGCGGUAAUACGAAAGGUGCAAGCGUUAAUCGGAAUUACUGGGCGUAAAGCGCGCGUAGGCGGCUUAGUAAGUUAGAUGUGAAAGCCCCGGGCUCAACCUGGGAACUGCAUCCAAAACUGCUAGGCUAGAGUAUGGUAGAGGAUGGCGGAAUUUCCUGUGUAGCGGUGAAAUGCGUAGAUAUAGGAAGGAACAUCAGUGGCGAAGGCGGCCAUCUGGACCAAUACUGACGCUGAGGUGCGAAAGCGUGGGGAGCAAACAGGAUUGAUU